RNAcentral lists this unclassified non-coding RNA (223 nucleotides) under Clostridioides difficile. RNAcentral's name for it is "16S-23S ribosomal RNA intergenic spacer (ISR)". The record is from RNAcentral. Lineage: Bacteria; Bacillati; Bacillota; Clostridia; Peptostreptococcales; Peptostreptococcaceae.
ACCUACUGUUUAAUUUUGAGGGUUCGUUUUUACGAAUACUCAAAAUUAGCACUUUUAGCACUUUAAGCAACGGGAUUUAUCCGUUGGCGCCGUGCUUUAGCACUUUGAAAACUGCAUAUAUAUUUAGUGAUAUGACAUCUAAUUUGUAAUAUAUAAAGCUGAUAACUUUUAAAAUUAUCGAAGUUGAUAGCUUCUAAUCUAUCAAACCUUUUUAACUGGUCAA